This 69-nucleotide transfer RNA is filed under the name Mylodon darwinii. RNAcentral describes it as "tRNA-Trp". Lineage: Eukaryota; Metazoa; Chordata; Mammalia; Pilosa; Mylodontidae. The record is from RNAcentral.
AGGGGCUUAGGAUAACAAUAGACCAAGGGCCUUCAAAGCCCUAAGCAAGUAUAAGAUACUUAGCCCCUG